RNAcentral lists this ribosomal RNA (454 nucleotides) under uncultured organism. RNAcentral describes it as "partial 16S ribosomal RNA". It matches the Rfam family "Bacterial small subunit ribosomal RNA", at positions 331 to 801 of the family's 1533-position model. The record is from RNAcentral.
GUACACUCCUGCGGGAGGCAGCAGUGGGGAAUAUUGGACAAUGGGCGCAAGCCUGAUCCAGCCAUGCCGCGUGAGUGAUGAAGGCCCUAGGGUUGUAAAGCUCUUUCACCGGUGAAGAUAAUGACGGUAACCGGAGAAGAAGCCCCGGCUAACUUCGUGCCAGCAGCCGCGGUAAUACGCAGGGGGCUAGCGUUGUUCGGAUUUACUGGGCGUAAAGCGCACGUAGGCGGACUAUUAAGUCAGGGGUGAAAUCCCGGGGCUCAACCCCGGAACUGCCUUUGAUACUGGUAGUCUUGAGUUCGAGAGAGGUGAGUGGAAUUCCGAGUGUAGAGGUGAAAUUCGUAGAUAUUCGGAGGAACACCAGUGGCGAAGGCGGCUCACUGGCUCGAUACUGACGCUGAGGUGCGAAAGCGUGGGGAGCAAACAGGAUGAGAAACCCGUGUAGUCCCAUGAU